AUGAAGUAAACGCUAUCAAGUGGGAUCCUCAGGGUAAUCUUUUGGCUUCCUGUUCUCACGAUAUUGUGUACAGUGUCGCAUUUUCUCCCGAUGGCAAUACCUAGCAUCUGGUAGCUUUGACUAAUGUGUACACAGCUGGUCUACUCAGUCGGGGCAAUUGUUACACAGCUACAAAGGAACUAGAGGCAUUUUUGAAGUUUGCUGGAAUUCUCGGGGCGAUAAAGUUGGAGCAAGUGCUUUUGACGGAAGUGUAUUUGCUGGGAUAACUGAACAGAAGUUUUAAAGAAAGACGGAAACAAUUGACAAGGCAAAAGAUUGGGAACCUGAAUGCUAUUCAGGUAACCAGUGCCAAUACAUUUUAUGUGGUACAUGUAACAAGACACUUGUGUUCAUGGUUCGCAAGCACACAACAAGGAAAUCUACACCAUAAAAUGGAGUCUUACCGGCCUUGGAACAAAAAACCCAAACAUGAAUCUGAUUUUGGCUAGCGCUUCGUUUGACUCGACCGUUUUGUGGGACGUUGAGCGUGGGUUGUGUAUUCAUACCUUAACCAAGCACUCCGAACCAGUGUACAGUGUCGAUAAAUAUGUUUUGAUUCGAUUUGUCAAUAAAAAUAAGAUAGAUAUAUUUUAAAAUUCAA
This 640-nucleotide long non-coding RNA is filed under the name Daphnia magna. RNAcentral describes it as "uncharacterized LOC123470354, transcript variant X2". Lineage: Eukaryota; Metazoa; Arthropoda; Branchiopoda; Diplostraca; Daphniidae. The record is from RNAcentral.